RNAcentral lists this ribosomal RNA (354 nucleotides) under Triticum aestivum (bread wheat). RNAcentral's name for it is "partial small subunit ribosomal RNA". Lineage: Eukaryota; Viridiplantae; Streptophyta; Magnoliopsida; Poales; Poaceae. The record is from RNAcentral.
AUGGCGCACUCCUCCUGUUUGAAUCGGAGUUUGAAACCAAAAAAACUUCUCCUCAGGAGGAUAGAUGGGACGAUUCAGGCGAUAUCCCAUUUAGAUCUAACUUUAUAUUCACUCGUGGGAUCCGGGCAGUCCGGGGGGGGGGGGGCACCACGGCUCCUCUCUUUUCGAGAAUCCAUACAUCCUUUAUCAGUGUAUGGAGAGCUAUCUCUCGAGCACAGGUUGAGGUUCAUCCUCAAUGGGAAAAUGGAGCACCUAACAAUGCAUCUUCACAUACCAAGAACUACGAGAUCACCCUUCCAUUCUGGGGUGACGGAGGGAUCCUACCAUUCGAGCCUUUUUUCAUGCUUUUCCUAG